This 24-nucleotide non-coding RNA is filed under the name Arabidopsis thaliana (thale cress). Lineage: Eukaryota; Viridiplantae; Streptophyta; Magnoliopsida; Brassicales; Brassicaceae. The record is from RNAcentral. RNAcentral also lists the same sequence under 1 other name.
UUCGCACAAUUGGUCAUCGCGCUU